AUUGAUAGAUAAAGGUUUAUCACUGGAUAGAGAUCCCAAAUAAUACCAAUUCAUUAAGAAAUGUAUGUUUUAAUACCUCAAUUUUUUUGCUGUCUAGGAAUUCAAUGUUGUGCUAAUUGCUAUGGAAAUUCUUAAGACUUAUAGCACCAUUCCCAAUCUCAGAUACUUUCCAGACUAGUUGAGGAAAAGACAUGUAUACUGAUGAGAAGAUAUCCAGCAAAAUAAGAGCACUCCAAGAGAAGAAAUUCCCUUAUCAGUAGAGCCACUCGAUCCUGGGGCCUCUUUGGACCACUGACAGAUGGAAUUAUAGAGUUCAGAUUAAUCUGUAUUAUCUGGGAAUACUCAGGCUCUGUUGAAGAACUCUGGUCACUUCUAAACAACUUCACAGCUUUAAGGUAUGCUUCCAUUAAUGUAAGUUUCUCUUUGUCAAAACCUGUAUGCUUUAAGUGCUUUAAAGUCACAUUAUCAACAGGGAAAAAGCUCAGAAUAGCACCAUAUUAAGGACACAUGUUUGCAAUUGUGGUUUGAUCAGUCACAGAGAGUUGAGGAACUCCACUUCCAAAGAAUUUGACAAAUUUUCCAGCCACUCCUACUUGUCUGAGGU
RNAcentral lists this long non-coding RNA (604 nucleotides) under Monodelphis domestica (gray short-tailed opossum). Its description in RNAcentral is "lncRNA (ENSMODG00000046388.1)". Lineage: Eukaryota; Metazoa; Chordata; Mammalia; Didelphimorphia; Didelphidae. The record is from RNAcentral.